AUUGAACGCUGGCGGCAGGCCUAACACAUGCCAGUCGAGCGGAUGAAGGGAGCUUGCUCCUGGAUUCAGCGGCGGACGGGUGAGUAAUGCCUAGGAAUCUGCCUGGUAGUGGGGGAUAACGUCCGGAAACGGGCGCUAAUACCGCAUACGUCCUGAGGGAGAAAGUGGGGGAUCUUCGGACCUCACGCUAUCAGAUGAGCCUAGGUCGGAUUAGCUAGUUGGUGGGGUAAAGGCCUACCAAGGCGACGAUCCGUAACUGGUCUGGGAGGAUGAUCAGUCACACUGGAACUGAGACACGGUCAAGACUCCUGCGGGAGGCAGCAGUGGGGAAUAUUGGACAAUGGGCGAAAGCAUGAUACAGCCAUGCCGCGUGUGUGAAGAAGGUCUUCGGAUUGUAAAGCACUUUAAGUUGGGAGGAAGGGCAGUAAGUUAAUACCUUGCUGUUUUGACGUUACCAACAGAAUAAGCACCGGCUAACUUCGUG
RNAcentral lists this ribosomal RNA (484 nucleotides) under uncultured bacterium. RNAcentral's name for it is "partial 16S ribosomal RNA". It matches the Rfam family "Bacterial small subunit ribosomal RNA", at positions 30 to 507 of the family's 1533-position model. The record is from RNAcentral.